ACUUUCAGCGAGGAAGAACGCCUAACGGUUAAUACCCGCUAGGAAAGACAUCACUCGCAGAAGAAGCACCGGCUAACUCCGUGCCAGCAGCCGCGGUAAUACGGAGGGUGCAAGCGUUAAUCGGAAUUACUGGGCGUAAAGCGCGCGUAGGUGGCUUGAUAAGCCGGUUGUGAAAGCCCCGGGCUCAACCUGGGAACGGCAUCCGGAACUGUCAAGCUAGAGUGCAGGAGAGGAAGGUAGAAUUCCCGGUGUAGCGGUGAAAUGCGUAGAGAUCGGGAGGAAUACCAGUGGCGAAGGCGGCCUUCUGGACUGACACUGACACUGAGGUGCGAAAGCGUGGGUAGCAAACAGGAUUAGAUACCCUGGUAGUCCACGCCGUAAACGAUGUCGACCAGCCGUUGGGUGCCUAGCGCACUUUGUGGCGAAGUUAACGCGAUAAGUCGACCGCCUGGGGAGUACGGCCGCAAGGUUAAAACUCAAAUGAAUUGACGGGGGCCCGCACAAGCGGUGGAGCAUGUGGUUUAAUUCGAUGCAACGCGAAGAACCUUACCUACUCUUGACAUCCUGCGAAUUUGGUAGAGAUACCUUAGUGCCUUCGGGAACGCAGAGACAGGUGCUGCAUGGCUGUCGUCAGCUCGUGUUGUGAAAUGUUGGGUUAAGUCCCGUAACGAGCGCAACCCUUGUCCUUAUUUGCCAGCGCGUAAUGGCGGGAACUCUAAGGAGACUGCCGGUGACAAACC
RNAcentral lists this ribosomal RNA (740 nucleotides) under Vreelandella aquamarina. RNAcentral's name for it is "bacterial SSU rRNA". It matches the Rfam family "Bacterial small subunit ribosomal RNA", at positions 432 to 1164 of the family's 1533-position model. Lineage: Bacteria; Pseudomonadati; Pseudomonadota; Gammaproteobacteria; Oceanospirillales; Halomonadaceae. The record is from RNAcentral.